Gossypium raimondii (Peruvian cotton) is the source of this 107-nucleotide non-coding RNA. The record is from Rfam. NCBI's taxonomy places the organism in Eukaryota, Viridiplantae, Streptophyta, Magnoliopsida, Malvales, Malvaceae.
AAUCUGUGGUGUGGUUAUUUUUUAAUCAACAUUUUGAAACAUUCCCACGCCUUAUAGAAAAAUUUUCCCUCCAUCUGCCUAAAGAGAAAAAUUUAUCAUCUCAGUUG